RNAcentral lists this ribosomal RNA (497 nucleotides) under uncultured bacterium. RNAcentral describes it as "partial 16S ribosomal RNA". It matches the Rfam family "Bacterial small subunit ribosomal RNA", at positions 28 to 507 of the family's 1533-position model. The record is from RNAcentral.
GACGAACGCUGGCGGCGUGCCUAAUACAUGCAAGUAGAACGCUGAAGAGAGGAGCUUGCUCUUCUUGGAUGAGUUGCGAACGGGUGAGUAACGCGUAGGUAACCUGCCUUGUAGCGGGGGAUAACUAUUGGAAACGAUAGCUAAUACCGCAUAACAAUGGAUGACACAUGUCGUUUAUUUGAAAGGGGCAAUUGCUCCACUACAAGAUGGACCUGCGUUGUUUUGGCUGGUAGGUGAGGUAACGGCUCACCUAGGCGACGAUACAUAGCCGACCUGAGCGGGGGGUCGGCCACCCUGGGAGGGAGACACGGCCCAGACGCCUGCGGGAGGCAGCAGUAGGGAAUCUUCGGCAAGGGGGGCAAACCUGACCGAGCAACGCCGCGUGAGUGGAGAAGGGGUUCGGAUCGUAAAGCUCUGUUGUAAGUCAAGAACGGGUGUGGGAGUGGAAAGUUCACACUGUGACGGUAGCUGACCAGAAAGGGACGGCUAACUACGUG